GAGUAAAAGAGCUCAGGGUCAUCAUUCUAGUUCAGAGUUCAAGCCCCAGUAUCAGCACACACAAAAAGGAAAAGAAAACAAGGAUCUUCCUGCUACUGCAACUCGUGCUUGAGCUAGCCUUAUACUCUAUCCUCCUGCCUCUGUUAUAUGAGAUCAUGGGUGUGUACCAUCACUUCCACAUAAUUGUAUAUAUUUCUAAAGGAUAAAUAGGGCCUCUUUAAAAAUAAAAAGUCAAAAAGAAGC
Perognathus longimembris pacificus (Pacific pocket mouse) is the source of this 243-nucleotide long non-coding RNA. RefSeq lists it as uncharacterized. The record is from RefSeq and is a predicted model, not a curated record. NCBI's taxonomy places the organism in Eukaryota, Metazoa, Chordata, Mammalia, Rodentia, Heteromyidae. The transcript is spliced from 3 exons.